Molecule: long non-coding RNA, 693 nt
Filed under: Nicotiana tabacum (common tobacco)
Lineage: Eukaryota; Viridiplantae; Streptophyta; Magnoliopsida; Solanales; Solanaceae
Description: long non-coding RNA (NTAB_LNC014397)
Source: RNAcentral
UUAGAGUGAUGCAUCAAAGACAUAAUAUUAACCAGCUACAUGUAGAUUGAAGGGGCGUAUCCCAUAUUCAUUUAUGCAUAAAAGAUCUUAAUUAAUUCAAAAUGGAUCGAAACGAACCGAAUUAAUCUAAAGCGGAUCGAGUUGACUGAAUGUACAUCCUAAUUCAAUCUCCUUCACUAGUGGUCGAUUUGCAUUAAUAUAGUGGCACCCGUAGCUAUCAUAUUCGGAAUCCGCCUCUGUUUGACAGCCUUCAUCAAGUAUUAGACAAGGAUUCAGUGUGUGUAAUCUCCAAAAAGAAAAAAAGAAAAAGUAUUCAUGUUUAAUCUUCAAUUAUAAUUGCAGAACCGACACACCUUUGAAAAGCCUGUCAAGAUAUACAACUGAAAGGUCUUGUAAUUCACUGCCCGUGCAAUGGAGCUAGCGAAUGACCCUCUCAUUAUAGAAGGGACACAUAAAAGUUUUGAGAUCUGUGGAAGGCAGAGAAGUGGCAUCAAGUUCAUUCAGUUACAUAAAGGGUACUUGCCGCCGCUGUUUUCUCAAGGUGAUUUCUUCAGUUUAGGCUAUUAUUCUUCCUUUGAUUUGGUUGGGGAAGCGAAUGUUGUACUCGCUCCUUUCUUUGUGGUUAGGAUGUGGCUUUAGUUAUCGUCGUCAAUCUUCAGAGUUAUUGCUCUAUUCAGGGCUGCCCCCCCNCCC